RNAcentral lists this ribosomal RNA (553 nucleotides) under Microsphaeropsis arundinis. RNAcentral's name for it is "eukaryotic LSU rRNA". The stretch from base 185 to 338 matches the Rfam family "5.8S ribosomal RNA". Lineage: Eukaryota; Fungi; Ascomycota; Dothideomycetes; Pleosporales; Didymellaceae. The record is from RNAcentral.
GUGUGGUCGCGGCCUCCGGGGGCUCCCCCCGGGCGGUAGAGGUAACACUCUUACGCGCCACAUGUCUGAAUCCUUUUUUUACGAGCACCUUUCGUUCUCCUUCGGUGGGGCAACCUGCCGUUGGAACUUAUCAAAACCUUUUUUUGCAUCUAGCAUUACCUGUUCAGAUACAAACAAUCGUUACAACUUUCAACAAUGGAUCUCUUGGCUCUGGCAUCGAUGAAGAACGCAGCGAAAUGCGAUAAGUAGUGUGAAUUGCAGAAUUCAGUGAAUCAUCGAAUCUUUGAACGCACAUUGCGCCCCUUGGUAUUCCAUGGGGCAUGCCUGUUCGAGCGUCAUCUACACCCUCAAGCUCUGCUUGGUGUUGGGCGUCUGUCCCGCCUCUGCGCGUGGACUCGCCCCAAAUUCAUUGGCAGCGGUCUUUGCCUCCUCUCGCGCAGCACAUUGCGCUUUAGAGGGGUGUGGGCCGCGUCCACGAAGCAACAUUAUCGUCUUUGACCUCGGAUCAGGUAGGGAUACCCGCUGAACUUAAGCAUAUCAAUAAGCGGAGGAA